This 286-nucleotide long non-coding RNA is filed under the name Nicotiana tabacum (common tobacco). RNAcentral's name for it is "long non-coding RNA (NTAB_LNC019192)". Lineage: Eukaryota; Viridiplantae; Streptophyta; Magnoliopsida; Solanales; Solanaceae. The record is from RNAcentral.
GAGUAGACCUGCCAUUUAACUCGACCAGAUACUGCGUCUUCCUGCUCAGUUCUUCCUAAGAUCUUGUCGUCACAGGUAAGAUCUUCAAAACUCUCUUCGACUUCAAUUUGGUUAUUCUGAUGCUUACCCUUGGUCAUGCAGCUGCAUUUUUGGGAAGGGUUCACCUGAUCUAAUGAUUUGCUGUGAGCCACCAUAUGUCUUAGGAGCUCACCGUCAGGGUCUGUAAUCAACUCAUUAUACUUUCCUGACUGAACAAUUCUACCAUCUUUCAUUACCUAAGCAUAUC